UUUGAUUACUGUUAUCAUUCUUGUUGCUGUGACCACCUAAUAUCCCUGUUGUUGUAAGCACCGGAUUCUCUCUCCUUUUACGUUUACAAAGAAUCAGGCCUAAACCUAAAGCGAGCAGAAUCAAUGCAACCAAUAGUGGCAAAGCUAUUGCAAGUAUAACAGUUAUCUUUCUUGUUGAUCCGGCAGAACCUAUCUCUGAAGCAGACAUCCUAAUGUAGAUAUCCUGUCCUGAUUGAGAUAGCUGUCUGAUGUCAAUUAACUCGUCAAUCCAUAUCAAGCACCCACUUCCUCCAUUGCGUAUGUCCAGAUUUGUGUAAGCCGUACACGAACAAUUUCUCAAGCAAA
RNAcentral lists this unclassified non-coding RNA (345 nucleotides) under Hevea brasiliensis (rubber tree). Lineage: Eukaryota; Viridiplantae; Streptophyta; Magnoliopsida; Malpighiales; Euphorbiaceae. The record is from RNAcentral.